GACUUUUAGCAGUGGAUUACUGGGUUCCUGCGUCAAUGAAGAACGCAGCUGGCUGUGAGAAUUAAUGUGAAUUGCAGGUCACAUUGAUCAUCGACACUUCAAAUUCACUUGCAGCCCGGGUUCCUCCCAGGGCUAUGCCUGUCUGAGCGUCG
RNAcentral lists this ribosomal RNA (152 nucleotides) under Pongo abelii (Sumatran orangutan). RNAcentral describes it as "5.8S ribosomal RNA (ENSPPYG00000033412.1)". It matches the Rfam family "5.8S ribosomal RNA". Rfam says of the family: 5.8S ribosomal RNA (5.8S rRNA) is a component of the large subunit of the eukaryotic ribosome. It is transcribed by RNA polymerase I as part of the 45S precursor that also contains 18S and 28S rRNA. The record is from Rfam by way of RNAcentral. Lineage: Eukaryota; Metazoa; Chordata; Mammalia; Primates; Hominidae.